This 730-nucleotide ribosomal RNA is filed under the name uncultured Staphylococcus sp. Its description in RNAcentral is "bacterial SSU rRNA". It matches the Rfam family "Bacterial small subunit ribosomal RNA", at positions 44 to 756 of the family's 1533-position model. Lineage: Bacteria; Bacillati; Bacillota; Bacilli; Caryophanales; Staphylococcaceae. The record is from RNAcentral.
GUGCCUAAUACAUGCAAGUCGAGCGAACAGACGAGGAGCUUGCUCCUCUGACGUUAGCGGCGGACGGGUGAGUAACACGUGGAUAACCCACCUAUAAGACUGGGAUAACUUCGGGAAACCGGAGCUAAUACCGGAUAAUAUAUUGAACCGCAUGGUUCAAUAGUGAAAGACGGUUUUGCUGUCACUUAUAGAUGGAUCCGCGCCGCAUUAGCUAGUUGGUAAGGUAACGGCUUACCAAGGCAACGAUGCGUAGCCGACCUGAGAGGGUGAUCGGCCACACUGGAACUGAGACACGGUCCAGACUCCUACGGGAGGCAGCAGUAGGGAAUCUUCCGCAAUGGGCGAAAGCCUGACGGAGCAACGCCGCGUGAGUGAUGAAGGUCUUCGGAUCGUAAAACUCUGUUAUUAGGGAAGAACAAAUGUGUAAGUAACUAUGCACGUCUUGACGGUACCUAAUCAGAAAGCCACGGCUAACUACGUGCCAGCAGCCGCGGUAAUACGUAGGUGGCAAGCGUUAUCCGGAAUUAUUGGGCGUAAAGCGCGCGUAGGCGGUUUUUUAAGUCUGAUGUGAAAGCCCACGGCUCAACCGUGGAGGGUCAUUGGAAACUGGAAAACUUGAGUGCAGAAGAGGAAAGUGGAAUUCCAUGUGUAGCGGUGAAAUGCGCAGAGAUAUGGAGGAACACCAGUGGCGAAGGCGACUUUCUGGUCUGUAACUGACGCUGAUGUGCGA